RNAcentral lists this unclassified non-coding RNA (345 nucleotides) under soil metagenome. RNAcentral describes it as "partial contains 5.8S ribosomal RNA, internal transcribed spacer 2, and large subunit ribosomal RNA". The stretch from base 1 to 120 matches the Rfam family "5.8S ribosomal RNA", at positions 35 to 154 of the family's 154-position model. The record is from RNAcentral.
GAUGAAGAACGCAGCGAAAUGCGAUACGUAAUGUGAAUUGCAGAAUUCAGUGAAUCAUCGAGUCUUUGAACGCACAUUGCGCCCCCUGGUAUUCCGGGGGGCAUGCCUGUCCGGGCGUCAUUGCUGCCCUCAAGCACGGCUUGUGUGUUGGGCCUCCGUCCUCCUCCCGGGGGACGGGCCCGAAAGGCAGCGGCGGCACCGCGUCCGGUCCUCGAGCGUAUGGGGCUUCGUCACCCGCUCUUGUAGGCCCGGCCGGCGCUUGCCGACACAUCAAUCUUUUUUCCAGGUUGACCUCGGAUCAGGUAGGGAUACCCGCUGAACUUAAGCAUAUCAAUAAGCGGAGGA